GUGAAUCAUCGAAUCUUUGAACGCAAAUUGCACUCUCUUCGGAGAGUAUGCCUGUUUGAGGGUCAGCCUAAAAAAAAUCGAAAUCGUUGCUGUUUCUCGGUGGCGUUCGUCGGAAAUCGGGUUAUCUUAACUCUCUGGUUUAAGCGACUUAAAAUUUUCUUUAAGAUUUUAUGAACGUUUCUAAGAUUUAUUUCUUUAUUCGUGUAAGGUAACGAUUUUAUUAGGCGUGGUCGCCAUAUCGGAGCGCGUACAUAUUUUUUUGUAAA
RNAcentral lists this unclassified non-coding RNA (266 nucleotides) under Glomeraceae sp. RNAcentral describes it as "partial contains 5.8S ribosomal RNA and internal transcribed spacer 2". The stretch from base 1 to 65 matches the Rfam family "5.8S ribosomal RNA", at positions 84 to 154 of the family's 154-position model. The record is from RNAcentral. Lineage: Eukaryota; Fungi; Glomeromycota; Glomeromycetes; Glomerales; Glomeraceae.